Peromyscus eremicus (cactus mouse) is the source of this 1191-nucleotide long non-coding RNA. RefSeq lists it as uncharacterized. The transcript has 4 exons. Lineage: Eukaryota; Metazoa; Chordata; Mammalia; Rodentia; Cricetidae. The record is from RefSeq and is a predicted model, not a curated record.
UUUCCUGGUUCUGUGUGCCUGACGGGGAUGAGUCCAAGUCAGUGAAUGCUGCUGGACCAGUACAGCUACAAAGGUGAAUACUGAUUGUUUUUCUUCCUUGCAUUGUGUGUCCUGUGCAAGAACCAGGUUAAGGGACUGGGGAAGUGGCUCUGCUUACAGUGUUGGCUACCCAAGCGGGAGGACAAGAGUGCAGAUCCCCAGAACCUGUGGAAAUACCUACUGGUUGUGGCCGUUCACCUGUAACUCUAGCCUGGGAAAAUGGAGACGGAACUCAAGCUCUGUAUGAGACUAGUCAUACAGGAGCACCCAGUACUUGGGCAACCAUUCUUUGUUCUGCAUCCCUGCAAGACAAAUGAAUUCAUGACCGCAGUGCUGAGAAGUUCACAGAAAAUCAAUAGAAAUGUCAACUACAUCACAUCGUGGCUGAGCAUUGUGGGGCCAGUUGUUGGUCUGAAUCUACCUCUGAGCUAUGCUAAAGCAACAUUGCAGGAUGAGUGAUUUGUUGACGAGCAAGAAACUGCAGCAUGGAGAACACCAAGAAUAUACCUGGGAAGCCUCGGUGUUUAUGGAAAUGGGACUGCGGUACCUCAUGUCACCAAGAUUUGAUGCAGAUUUCUUUCCUUGAGAAGAAAACGUCUGCAGACCUGUUUGGAACAGUGGUUGUGUGGAAGGAACACAUCACAGAUUCAAAUUACUGUAAAGAGCAAAAAUGAAUCUAAUUCAGUGACAUUGUAGUUCUGACAUCAUCAGGGCUCACACAGGUUGUUUUCCUCUAGACACUGUUCUUCUUCUGUUGUGGAGAUUGAUGGAGAAAUGUGUUUGUGUGUUCAGUUUCAUAUAAGAUGUAUGAAAAUUAAAAUGUAGAACUUACUUGUUUCAGAAAAUUAAUGUCAUAAAAAUGGCUUAUCUUUGGAACUAGAAAAUAUCAUCCUGAGUGAGGUAACCCAAACCCAGGAGGAGAAACAUGGUAUGUACUCACUCAUAAGUGGAUACUAGAUAUAAAGCAAAGAACAAUCAGACUGCAACCUACAGAACCAGGGAGGCUACAUAGUAGGGGGGACCCUAGGAUGACUGUGCCUUAUAAUAAGUUUUGUUUUUACUCAAUUAUUGGGCAAGCCUCAAUGAAACAUUUCACUAUUAGGAUAAGAAUUUAUACUGUAUCAAGCUGAUAAUAGAAAAAUAAAUAAAUAA